AUGAUCAUCUUCUGCAACGUGCUGGACAAACACCCCAAGCCUCAUUUCUUAAGACUGCCUAGCAAUGCAACUCGAUCGCCCGCUGUUCGGGACGUUUCAGUCCUUAAUGGCUUCAUCAAGAUGGUCGAGCUGGAGCACCGUGCUAUUGGUUGGAAGGCCACAAUAUGGAGCAUCAAGACUGGCAUCUUCUCCAAAGCGCAUUGGAGUGUCGAUUGCCAGUUCGAUUCCUCUGCUAUACCUGAACCGCCGCUGCCUAAGCUGAAGGUCCGUGAAGGUGUCACAGCUCAGCCUACCUUGUUGACUCUCCAUAUUGGCCUGCCCAAGCUGAGCCUGCAAGAUGAUUGCAUUCUUUACUUACUAGCUAAGAUUGACUACCGCGACAGGCAGCACACAUCAUGGGUGCUUGCUGUUGACAUGAAGAACAACACUGUCCAGAGAGUGGCUGAGUUUAGCCCCAAGAGGGCUAUUGGUUUAGCCAGGGGCUACGAUUCAAGUACGAUCUCCAAAUAUCUCAAAGUUGGUCCAGGGAAAGGCGUGCAAGAAGCUGAGCAGUGA
Molecule: ribosomal RNA, 555 nt
Filed under: Triticum aestivum (bread wheat)
Lineage: Eukaryota; Viridiplantae; Streptophyta; Magnoliopsida; Poales; Poaceae
Description: partial small subunit ribosomal RNA
Source: RNAcentral